AUGGCCUGGACCCCUCUCCUUCUUGUGUUCCUGUCUCAUUGCACAGGUUCCUUCUCCCAGCCUGUGCUGACUCAGCCACCCUCCUUCUCUGCAUCCCAGGGAGCAUCUGUCCGAAUCACCUGCACCCUGAGCAGUGGCUUUAGUGUUGGUAACUUCUGGAUGAGUUGGUACCAGCAGAAGCCAGGGAACCCUCCCUCGUAUCUCCUGUACUACUACUCCGACUCAGAUAAGGGCCAAGGCUCUGGGGUCCCUAGCCGCUUCUCUGGAUCCAAAGAUGCUUCAGCCAAUGCGGGAAUUCUGCACAUCUCUGGACUCCAGCCUGAGGAUGAGGCUGACUAUUACUGUACUACAUGGCAUGGCAACUCUAAGACUCACACAGUGCUACAGACUCACAAGGAAGGCAUCCUGCCUCCACAGCUGUUGCUUCCAAUUCAGGAAGAAGCUGAGCAUCACUAA
Molecule: non-coding RNA, 456 nt
Organism: Carlito syrichta (Philippine tarsier)
Lineage: Eukaryota; Metazoa; Chordata; Mammalia; Primates; Tarsiidae
Source: the annotation of a RefSeq genome assembly